AUGGUGGAGGAGGUGACAGAAAUUGCCGUGCCCGACGCCCGAGCUGCCAUGAGCAUCUAUGCGUGGGGGCUGGGUGCCCUUCCAGCACCGUUCCUGGGGUGCACGCAGCUUCCCAUGGCAGAUAGGACUGGCAGCCUCUUCACGCUGACGCUGGAGCGAGAGCUGGAGGGAUGUGGGCGCCGGCGCUCRGCCCUCAGGAUCCUGGCAGUCCCCGGGGGCCCCGAGCCGCUCUCUCCCCUGCUCGGGACGCUGGCUACAGGACACGCGCCGGCCAGCGCCGGCUCCCUGCCCUGGAUCGUCG
RNAcentral lists this long non-coding RNA (301 nucleotides) under Dromaius novaehollandiae (emu). RNAcentral's name for it is "lncRNA (ENSDNVG00000006820.1)". Lineage: Eukaryota; Metazoa; Chordata; Aves; Casuariiformes; Dromaiidae. The record is from RNAcentral.